RNAcentral lists this ribosomal RNA (494 nucleotides) under uncultured bacterium. Its description in RNAcentral is "partial 16S ribosomal RNA". It matches the Rfam family "Bacterial small subunit ribosomal RNA", at positions 28 to 507 of the family's 1533-position model. The record is from RNAcentral.
GACGAACGCUGGCGGCGUGCUUAACACAUGCGAGUCGAACGGUGAAGCGCCUUCCUUUUUGGUGGGUGUGGAUGAGUGGCGAACGGGUGAGUAACACGUGAGUAACCUGCCCCCUUCUUCUGGAUAACCGCAUGAAAGUGUGGCUAAUACGGGAUAUUCUGGGUCUGUCGCAUGAUGGGUCUGGGAAAGAUAUUGUUUCGGUGGGGGAUGGGCUCGCGGCCUAUCAGCUUGUUGGUGGGGUGAUGGCCUACCAAGGCGGUGACGGGUAGCCGGCCUGAGAGGGUGGACGGUCACACUGGGACUGAGACACGGCCCAGACUCCUACGGGAGGCAGCAGUGGGGAAUAUUGCACAAUGGGCGCAAGCCUGAUGCAGCGACGCCGCGUGAGGGAUGGAGGCCUGCGGGUUGUGAACCUCUUUCGCCAGUGAAGCAGGCCUGCCUCGUUUGUGGGUGGGUUGACGGUAGCUGGAUAAGAAGCGCCGGCUAACUACGUG